Molecule: long non-coding RNA, 1915 nt
Filed under: Ornithorhynchus anatinus (platypus)
Lineage: Eukaryota; Metazoa; Chordata; Mammalia; Monotremata; Ornithorhynchidae
Description: lncRNA (ENSOANG00000049935.1)
Source: RNAcentral
GCCUAUGUUAAGUGCUUACUAUGUCCAUUCAUUUGAUCAUAUUUAUUGAGCGCUUACUGUGAGCAAAGCACUGUACUAAGCUCUUGGGAGAGGACAAUAUAACGACAGACACAUUCCCUGCUCGCAACGAGCUAUGUGUGACAGGCACUGUACUAAGUGCUGGGCUAGAGACGAGUUUGGACACACUUCAUGUCCCACAUGGAGCUCAUAGUCCUAAUACCCGUUUUACUCAUGGGGCUUAAUUUCCAAUUUACAGAUGAGGUAACUGAGGCACGGAGAAAUGAAGAAACUUACCUGAGGUCAGAGCAGACAAGUGGCUGAAAUAGUCGGGAUGAAAACCCAGGUCCUGACUCCAGGUCCAUGCUCUAUCCACACAGCUUCUCUCUUUCAUGAAAAACUCUUAUAGAAAAUUUCCCGAGAUGGAGAAGGCUCCACCUUCACUAACCCACUAGAACUGCAAAUCUGUGUUUGGUUUCUGCUGGGGAAAUCACCUACACUCUCAUGAAAUGAUUCAGUACGGUAGAACUCGGGAACAUUACAUUUGGUGGAUGCAGGUUACUCUCAUCCAUACGUGGACUGGGAUCCUCCUUGAAAUGUGGAGUUUGGUUUUGAGGACAAGCAGAUAUGAAAGUAACCUGUACAAGAGGCUGAAAAAAGAGGCUGUAUUCUCUCCUCAGCAUCCUCAUACACGCUUUAAAAAAAGUGGAAGUGCCCUAAAGAGAAAACUGUAAAGAGGAAAUGGCUAUGAAGGAGGAAGAAAUUCCCUGAUGGAGAUGAUAACAGAGGCAGGAAAUUAAGAGCCCAAGAACUCCCCUCUUUUAAUUUUGACCAUGAAUUUCUCUCACCAUUGCCCUGAGGUAAACAGGGGAACCACACUGCAGAAACACCGAUGUGCUAUAGGAAGAAUCAGCCAUGUUUGUUUUUUUUCUUUUUCUGGCUCAUAAUAAAUUCAAGAAGGCUGCUUAGUGACCACUCAGUCAAUUACCUACUGAACCUUGGGAAUCAGAGAUGAAUACAAAGAACUAGUUGGAAAGACCUGGUUACCAACUGCUUCUCAGGACAGAGUCCAAGGAGCAGGAGGAGAUUUUCUAUCAGAGUAAUGCCAUUUUGGAGAAUUAAUAAAAGUCUUGGGGCCUCAUUCUCUUAAAUGGUGGACACUUGGUGAGUCACAUUCUAAUCACAGUGAAAGAGAACAUCUCUUCAGGGGCUCUUACCACCUUUCAUCUGCAUCAGCUGGGUGCUGCUUUGGAGCUGGGAUUGCUUCCUCCUUGGUGUUUUCCAAUUGGGCCAGGAAUGGAGUCUUCUGAUUGCCACUUCACACCUGACUCUUCCCAUUUCCCGCUCCCCCAUUUGCAAAAUGUGAUGGAUGUCAAGGAGGCAACCAACACAUGGUCUCUAGAGGCAUUCCAUUGCUACUGUUGAAGGCAGAAUACUAGACUGGGUGUAACUUUGAUUUGACCAAGGAAUGGUAUUUCUUGUCAUCUAAACUUUGACUUAUUCUUUCAUCCCCCAGACUUUCCUACUUUACCUAGAUCACAGUCUGGGUAGUAAGGGGGAGGGAGAACAGAUAAUUAAUCCCCAUUUUACAGUUGAGGAAACUGAGGCAUUAACUGGCCCAAGAUCACACAGUAGGCAGGUGCCAGAACCAGGAUUAUAUGUUCAUCCAAUAGUAUUUAGUGAGCACUUACUAUGUGCAGAGCACUGUACUAAGUGCUUGGAAUGUACAAAUCAGCAACAGAGACAGUCCCUGCCCAUUGAUGGGCUUAUAGUCUAAUUGGGGGAGACAGACAGACAAAAACAAUAGCAAUAAAUAGAAUCAAGGUGAUGUACAUCUCAUUAACAAAAUAAAUAGGGUAAUGAAAAUAUAUACAAUUGAGCGAACAAGCACAGUGCUGAGGGGAGGGGAAAGGAGAGG